GCUGCUGGAUCAUUACC
This 17-nucleotide ribosomal RNA is filed under the name Cactodera torreyanae. Its description in RNAcentral is "partial 18S ribosomal RNA". The record is from RNAcentral. Lineage: Eukaryota; Metazoa; Nematoda; Chromadorea; Rhabditida; Heteroderidae.